GUAGGGAAUCUUCCACAAUGGACGAAAGUCUGAUGGAGCAACGCCGCGUGAGUGAAGAAGGUCUUCGGAUCGUAAAACUCUGUUGUUAGAGAAGAACGUGCAUGAUAGUAACUGAUCAUGUAAUGACGGUAUCUAACCAGAAAGCCACGGCUACCUACGUGCCAGCAGCCGCGGUAAUACGUAGGUGGCAAGCGUUGUCCGGAUUUAUUGGGCGUAAAGGGAACGCAGGAGGUUGUUAAGUCUGAUGUGAAAGCCUUCGGCUUAACCGAAGAAGAGCAUUGGAAACUGGAAGACUUAAGUGCAGAAGAGGAGAGUGGAAUUCCAUGUGUAGCGGUGAAAGGCGUAGAGAUAUGGAGGAACACCAGUGGCGAAAGCGGCUCUCUGGUCUGUAACUGACGCGGAGGUUCGAAAGCGUGGGUAGCAAACAGGAUUAGAAACCCCAGUAGUCC
This 449-nucleotide ribosomal RNA is filed under the name uncultured bacterium. RNAcentral describes it as "partial 16S ribosomal RNA". It matches the Rfam family "Bacterial small subunit ribosomal RNA", at positions 354 to 796 of the family's 1533-position model. The record is from RNAcentral.